AACCAAGCCUUCAACGAAAUAUUCAGCAGAGGAACCUGUCUUAAUGAGUUUUGAGGAAAGUUUAUCAAAAUUUCAGUUUUAUUAUUAUCCCUAUACAAUAAUCAAUCAUAUUAAAACUAUACUCAAUAGAAAGUUCAGAAAAAGAUAAACAUUUUCAAAGUUUCAAAUGUAAAAAAAAAACUUUUUCUUGAAGCAGAUUUUUUAAAAAUCGAAUGUCUAGCCACUAUGUCCAAACGUUAUUUAUGUCCAUACCUUA
RNAcentral lists this long non-coding RNA (256 nucleotides) under Mytilus galloprovincialis (Mediterranean mussel). Lineage: Eukaryota; Metazoa; Mollusca; Bivalvia; Mytilida; Mytilidae. The record is from RNAcentral.